CUACGGGGCGCUGCAGUGGGGAAUAUUGCACAAUGGGCGCAAGCCUGAUGCAGCCAUGCCGCGUGUAUGAAGAAGGCCUUCGGGUUGUAAAGUACUUUCAGCGGGGAGGAAGGGAGUAAAGUUAAUACCUUUGCUCAUUGACGUUACCCGCAGAAGAAGCACCGGCUAACUCCGUGCCAGCAGCCGCGGUAAUACGGAGGGUGCAAGCGUUAAUCGGAAUUACUGGGCGUAAAGCGCACGCAGGCGGUUUGUUAAGUCAGAUGUGAAAUCCCCGGGCUCAACCUGGGAACUGCAGCUGAUACUGGCAAGCUCGAGUCUCGUAGAGGGGGGUAGAAUUCCAGGUGUAGCGGUGAAAUGCGUAGAGAUCUGGAGGAAUACCGGUGGCGAAGGCGGCCCCCUGGACGAAGACUGACGCUCAGGUGCGAAAGCGUGGGGAGCAAACAGGAUUAGAUACCCGGGUAGUC
RNAcentral lists this ribosomal RNA (464 nucleotides) under uncultured bacterium. RNAcentral describes it as "partial 16S ribosomal RNA". It matches the Rfam family "Bacterial small subunit ribosomal RNA", at positions 339 to 795 of the family's 1533-position model. The record is from RNAcentral.